AUGGCAAAGAUUAAUGUGCAAAUUAUACCAAUUGUUCCAACUGAAUAAGUGUAUGUCGACAACUGCUAAUAUCGUUAAGUUUCAGCCUUGUAUGAGCCAU
This 100-nucleotide small nucleolar RNA is filed under the name Petasospora fabianii. The record is from RNAcentral. Lineage: Eukaryota; Fungi; Ascomycota; Saccharomycetes; Phaffomycetales; Wickerhamomycetaceae.